This 875-nucleotide ribosomal RNA is filed under the name Neolauriomyces eucalypti. Its description in RNAcentral is "eukaryotic LSU rRNA". It matches the Rfam family "Eukaryotic large subunit ribosomal RNA", at positions 38 to 938 of the family's 3401-position model. Lineage: Eukaryota; Fungi; Ascomycota; Leotiomycetes; Helotiales; Neolauriomycetaceae. The record is from RNAcentral.
GCAUAUCAAUAAGCGGAGGAAAAGAAACCAACAGGGAUUACCUCAGUAACGGCGAGUGAAGCGGUAACAGCUCAAAUUUGAAAUCUGGCCUUGGCCCGAGUUGUAAUUUGUAGAAGAUGCUUCGGGCGUGGCACCGGUCUAAGUUCCUUGGAACAGGACGUCAUAGAGGGUGAGGAUCCCGUAUGUGACUGGCCGCCUAACCCAUGUGAAGCUCUUUCGACGAGUCGAGUUGUUUGGGAAUGCAGCUCAAAAUGGGUGGUAUAUUUCAUCUAAAGCUAAAUAUUGGCCAGAGACCGAUAGCGCACAAGUAGAGUGAUCGAAAGAUGAAAAGCACUUUGGAAAGAGAGUUAAACAGUACGUGAAAUUGUUGAAAGGGAAGCGCUUGCAACCAGACUUGCGCGUAGUCGAUCAUCCGAUGUUCUCACCGGUGCACUCGACUGCGUUCAGGCCAGCAUCGGUUUAGGUGGUUGGAUAAAGGCCUUGGGAAUGUAGCUCCUCCGGGAGUGUUAUAGCCCUCGGUGCAAUGCAGCCUACCUGGACCGAGGACCGCGCUUCGGCUAGGAUGCUGGCGUAAUGGUUGUAAGCGACCCGUCUUGAAACACGGACCAAGGAGUCUAACAUCUAUGCGAGUGUUUGGGUGUCAAACCCAUACGCGUAAUUAACGUGAACGGAGGUGAGAACCCUUAAGGGUGCAUCAUCGACCGAUCCUGAUGUCUUCGGAUGGAUUUGAGUAAGAGCAUAGCUGUUGGGACCCGAAAGAUGGUGAACUAUGCCUGAAUAGGGUGAAGCCAGAGGAAACUCUGGUGGAGGCUCGCAGCGGUUCUGACGUGCAAAUCGAUCGUCAAAUUUGGGCAUAGGGGCGAAAGACUAAUCGA